AAGGAAGGAGUGGAGCAUGCCUAACACAUGCAAGUCGAACGAGACCUUCGGGUCUAGUGGCGCACGGGUGCGUAACGCGUGGGAACCUGCCCUUAGGUUCGGAAUAACUCCCCGAAAGGGGUGCUAAUACCGGAUAAUGUCUUCGGACCAAAGAUUUAUCGCCUUUGGAUGGGCCCGCGUUGGAUUAGCUAGUUGGUAGGGUAAAAGCCUACCAAGGCGACGAUCCAUAGCUGGUCUGAGAGGAUGAUCAGCCACACUGGGACUGAGACACGGCCCAGACUCCUACGGGAGGCAGCAGUGGGGAAUAUUGGACAAUGGGCGAAAGCCUGAUCCAGCAAUGCCGCGUGAGUGAUGAAGGCCUUAGGGUUGUAAAGCUCUUUUACCCGGGAUGAUAAUGACAGUACCGGGAGAAUAAGCUCCGGCUAACUCCGUG
This 433-nucleotide ribosomal RNA is filed under the name uncultured bacterium. RNAcentral's name for it is "partial 16S ribosomal RNA". It matches the Rfam family "Bacterial small subunit ribosomal RNA", at positions 39 to 507 of the family's 1533-position model. The record is from RNAcentral.